UGUUGACUUGAAAGGGGCAGUGAAAGAUGUAUAUCGUGUGAGGGUUAAAGAAAAGGUUGAGACCUCCUUGACUCUUUAACUUCUUGAACGAUAAGCCCGUCGCUUUUGCUGAUUUCCUCAAUUUACCAUCCCAAACAGAUAAUGGCGCAAAACAUGUUAGAAACGCUGAGAGGAAUUCCGUAUAUCCUCGUUGAGGGUCGGUAAA
RNAcentral lists this long non-coding RNA (205 nucleotides) under Brassica napus (rape). Its description in RNAcentral is "long non-coding RNA (BNAP_LNC000424)". Lineage: Eukaryota; Viridiplantae; Streptophyta; Magnoliopsida; Brassicales; Brassicaceae. The record is from RNAcentral.